Molecule: transfer RNA, 76 nt
Filed under: Pseudomonadota bacterium
Lineage: Bacteria; Pseudomonadati; Pseudomonadota
Also listed under: 4 other names
Description: tRNA-Arg
Rfam family: tRNA
About the family: Transfer RNA (tRNA) molecules are approximately 80 nucleotides in length. Their secondary structure includes four short double-helical elements and three loops (D, anti-codon, and T loops). Further hydrogen bonds mediate the characteristic L-shaped molecular structure. tRNAs have two regions of fundamental functional importance: the anti-codon, which is responsible for specific mRNA codon recognition, and the 3' end, to which the tRNAs corresponding amino acid is attached (by aminoacyl-tRNA synthetases). tRNAs cope with the degeneracy of the genetic code in two manners: having more than one tRNA (with a specific anti-codon) for a particular amino acid; and 'wobble' base-pairing, i.e. permitting non-standard base-pairing at the 3rd anti-codon position.
Source: RNAcentral
GCGGACGUAGCUCAACGGAUAGAGCAUCAGUCUUCGGAACUGAGGGUUGGGGGUUCGAAUCCCUUCGUCCGCGCCA